GCACUUUUUGUUGGGAGCAAUCUUGAAUAGUCUUGGGCUUCGUCCACGUGUUCAUUUUCAGCUGACACAGUGAUGGCAGGAAGUGCUGACCCCUGCAAUUUCCUCAAAUGUGAGAAACUUGAUUGCGUAAUUUGUGGCUGUAAAUGGCUGCACUCCAGAUGCAGCCACUUC
RNAcentral lists this small nuclear RNA (171 nucleotides) under Salvator merianae (Argentine black and white tegu). RNAcentral describes it as "U1 spliceosomal RNA (ENSSMRG00000019370.1)". The record is from RNAcentral. Lineage: Eukaryota; Metazoa; Chordata; Lepidosauria; Squamata; Teiidae.